GACGAACGCUGGCGGCGUGCCUAAUACAUGCAAGUAGAACGCUGAAGGAGGAGCUUGCUUCUCUGGAUGAGUUGCGAACGGGUGAAUAACGCGUAGGUAACCUGCCUGGUAGCGGGGGAUAACUAUUGGAAACGAUAGCUAAUACCGCAUAAUAGCAGUUAUUGCAUGAUAACUGUUUGAAAGGUGCAAUUGCACCACUACCAGAUGGACCUGCGUUGUAUUAGCUAGUUGGUGGGGUAACGGCUCACCAAGGCGACGAUACAUAGCCGACCUGAGAGGGUGAUCGGCCACACUGGGACUGAGACACGGCCCAGACUCCUACGGGAGGCAGCAGUAGGGAAUCUUCGGCAAUGGACGGAAGUCUGACCGAGCAACGCCGCGUGAGUGAAGAAGGUUUUCGGAUCGUAAAGCUCUGUUGUAAGAGAAGAACGAGUGUGAGAGUGGAAAGUUCACACUGUGACGGUAUCUUACCAGAAAGGGACGGCUAACUACGUG
Molecule: ribosomal RNA, 495 nt
Filed under: uncultured bacterium
Lineage: Bacteria
Description: partial 16S ribosomal RNA
Rfam family: Bacterial small subunit ribosomal RNA
Source: RNAcentral